This 1547-nucleotide ribosomal RNA is filed under the name Thermochaetoides thermophila. RNAcentral describes it as "SSU rRNA". It matches the Rfam family "Bacterial small subunit ribosomal RNA". The record is from RNAcentral. Lineage: Eukaryota; Fungi; Ascomycota; Sordariomycetes; Sordariales; Chaetomiaceae.
UUUAGAUUUGCUCUAAACCUAAAUUAAAAGUGGUGUAACAGUGAGUAUUAGAUUUUUUGGCCUACCUUAAAGAAAAGUUAAAUACUUUAUAUACCAAAAGGGAUAUAGUGAUGGUAAAUCUUAUUGCCAUCAGUCCGCUUUAAGAGGAAAAUAAAAAUCACAGGGAUAGGUAGUUGUUAAGGUAAUGGCUUAACAAGCCUUAAUUCUCUUAGUCGAGGCUUAAAAGGUCGAUCGACCACAUUGGGGAUGAAAAAAUCCCAAGGCAAAUACGUACAGCAGUGAGGAAUAUUGGUCAAUGGCCUAACGGCUGAACUGGUAACUUGGAGGAACGGAGGUCCUCGAACUUCUCAAUGAAGGUAGAGGGCGAUUAUAUUGAUGAAAUCGAAUAUAGUUCUGUAUGCAUAUUGAUAAUGACAAUAUGUACAAAUGUCUUGACCAAUUACGUGCCAGCAGUCGCGGCAAUACGUAAGAGACUAGUGUUAAUCAUCUUUAAUAGGUUUAAAGGGUACUCAGACGGGAGAAUUCGCCUCAAAAAGGGACAAUUUUCCUAGAGUUUUAUGUAAGAAGAUCGUACUCUAGAGUGUAGAGAUAAAAUUCGUUGAUACCUAGGGGACUGGUAAAGGCGAAGGCAAUCUUUUAUGUAAAAACUGACGUCGAAGGACGAAGGCUUAGGAAGCAAACAGGAUUAGAUACCCCAGUAGUCUUAGCAGUCAAUGAUGAAUGCCAUAGGUUAGAUUAUGUAGUAGAUAUAUCUGAUGUAAGUAAUGUAAAUUACAUUACACAGAUUCAGUUUAUGGUUGUACUAAAGAACAGUAUGGUACCGCACCCAGCGGUGCGGUACAAUAUUGUAAAGUAUUAACUAUAAUACUGCUACUACUGCCACGUUGUGGCAUAUUAGUAUAUAUAUAUGAAUGUUAUCUGGCCUAUAAAUGAAAGUGUAAGCAUUUCACCUCAAGAGUAAUGUGGCAACGCAGGAACUGAAAUCACUAGACCGUUUCUGACCCAAGCAGUGAAGUAUGUUAUUUAAUUCGUCAACACACGAAAAACCUUACCACAACUUGAAUAUUUAUAGUCCAUAUAUAUACAUAUAUGCUAUAAAUACAGGAGUUGCACGGCUGUCUUCAGUUAAUGUUGUGAAACUGUGGUGAAACUCCAUAGGGAAUUAGCGUAAGCCCUGACUUUAUUUAUAAAAAUAAAAUAAAGUAAUUAGCCUGCAAUUCGCGGGUGUGAAAAAGGGGAGUAAGACAAGUCAUCAUGGCCUUAAUGUUGUGGGCUAUAGACGUGCCACAUUUUCCUAUACAAAGAGAUGCGAAAGUGCGAAUUUUAGCGAAUCUCACAAAAUAGGAUAAAAUUAGAUAUGGAUUGUAGUCUGAAACUCGACUGCAUGAAUAAGAAAUUGCUAGUAAUCGUGGAUCACCAUGACACGGUGAAUAGUUCUUCGGAUUGGUACUAACCACUCGUCACAUGCUGAAAUUAGUCUACACAAUAAGUUUGCUUUACUGUACUAAGUAAGUAAAUAUAUAAGUAUUUAGAUGUUAGAACAGUAA